Molecule: ribosomal RNA, 286 nt
Filed under: uncultured Sphingomonas sp.
Lineage: Bacteria; Pseudomonadati; Pseudomonadota; Alphaproteobacteria; Sphingomonadales; Sphingomonadaceae
Description: partial 16S ribosomal RNA
Rfam family: Bacterial small subunit ribosomal RNA
Source: RNAcentral
UCUGCCCUUCGGUUGGGAAUAACACAGAGAAAUUUGUGCUAAUACCUUAUAAUGUCUUCGGACCAAAGAUUUAUCGCCGAGGGAUGAGCCCGCGUAGGAUUAGGUAGUUGGUGGGGUAAUGGCCUACCAAGCCGACGAUCCUUAGCUGGUCUGAGAGGAUGAUCAGCCACACUGGGACUGAGACACGGCCCAGACUCCUACGGGAGGCAGCAGUGGGGAAUAUUGGACAAUGGGCGAAAGCCUGAUCCAGCAAUGCCGCGUGAGUGAUGAAGGCCUUAGGGUUGUA